RNAcentral lists this long non-coding RNA (9060 nucleotides) under Zea mays. RNAcentral's name for it is "long non-coding RNA (ZMAY_LNC004077)". Lineage: Eukaryota; Viridiplantae; Streptophyta; Magnoliopsida; Poales; Poaceae. The record is from RNAcentral.
UUCUUCCACCCCGGCUUCACGUCGAUCGUUAGGAUCUCUUCCACUGGGAUCGUCUUCCUGCACACACAAGUUUAGCAUAGCAGUGGUGAGCACACAAUCUGCAAAUGGAACUCAGCUUUCUUGUUUUGUGGCUGUAGUGUUAUAUAGCUCACGGAUUGACGGGGACAAAACAAGCUGGCACAGCCCAAAUGGCAAAUGCAAAUCAAUUCAACUGACUGAGCUACCGCUGCUAAAGCAGUAAACUCAAACAUCUAUGAUGGCUGAUCCGCAGAAUUUAUAUUAAAAAAAGAUCAAACCAACUCGCCCAAUCGGUCGAAUUUAAGAAAAUUUAACUUGAUUCCAGUCUAGAAUCAAAGUCAUUUUUAGGACAGCAGCUUAAAUCCAACAGCAGAAAUUAACCAAGCAUAAAUCUCAUCAGGUUAUAGCUCAAGCAAAUUUAAGGAGUCUUUUAUUGCGUUUCAGUUCAGUUUCAAAUACUUUAAUCAACAACAGCAAUUUCAAACAAACAAUGCUGAGACGGAGAUGCGAAGAGAAGGCAGAUGCUUACCCACUGGCGUCAGAGAUUUCCCUGGAGAUCUUCAUCUUCUUGGUGGUGCCCUUGUACAGCUCCUCGAGGCUGCACGGCAGCUUCCGCUCUAUGGCCGGCGCCUUCACGGCCCGCCCGCCGGCGUGCAUGCCGUGCCCGUCCGGGCCGCCGCCGAACGCAGAGCCGAAUAUGUCGUCCCCGAAGAUGGAGGAGGAGAACCUCGUACCGCCGCUCCGCAUGCCGGGCAUCCCACCGCCCAUGCCGCUGCCGCCCAUGCCACCGCCGCCCAUGCCGCCGAAGGGGCUGGAGCCGCCGAAGAACUCGGCGAAGAUGUCCUCCGCGUUGCGCGGGUUGAACCGGAACACCGUCGGCCCGUCGCCGCCGGUGGAGAAGAAGGUUGCGCCGCCGGGCCCCGCCCCGCCGGCGCCCGGCGGCGGCACCUGCCCCUUAAGACCCUCCUCGCCGUACUGGUCGUACACCGCGCGCUUCUGCGGGUCGCUCAGCACCUGCACGGACACAGAGAGCCAGAGGCCAAGAGCACGUUACGACACGAUUGGGCCGGCUGGGGAGACGAAUCUGGCGUGGAUCUUCUCCGGACGCCCACUUACCUCGUACGCCUCCGAGAUCUGCUUGAACUUGUUCUCGGCCUCCUUCUUGUUGUUGGGGUUCUUGUCGGGGUGCCAUUUCAUGGCGAGCUUGCGGUAGGCCUUCUUGAGGUCGUCAUCGGUGGCGCCCUUGUCGACGCCUAGGAUCUUGUAAUAGUCAAGCCCCAUCGUUACUGCUUCCUUCCCGCUUCGCCGCUUUGCGUGCCCGCGCUCUUGGUUAUCGCCGGAGACUCGCGCUCGUUUGGACGUUCUCGCUGUCGUUGCGAUUCGGUGAGGUUUGGUUGGUUCGGGGUAGGAGACGGGAGGAGAGGAGGGGAGAGAAAAGGGGAUGAGAGAAGCGUCUGGAUAGACGAAGCGACGAGCCGACGAGACCGGUCUGGAGACGGGUGUGGAAGCUUCUGGAAGGCGCAGGAAACUGCGCGCGGAAUCUAGGGGCGCAGCCCAGGUGGAGCUCUCCCUGUUAAGAACCCUUUGCUACCGAGUGUAGUCCAAAGGCUACUUAACUAGAAGUGGAAUCACAAACACAGGAGACACAAAGAUAUAGGAGGAACUGAUAUUCUCAUUCAUGUAUUCUGUUUACUGGUUACAACAAAUGGUAGUGUCCUCCUCUAUAUAUAGUGCACAGUUAGGGUUUAGGCUAGAUGGGCCACAUGGGCCUUCGGGGCCCAAACAGGUUUCUUAACACUCCCCCUUGGCCCUCUUGCCGCGAGAUACACAUGUCCCAAAACUCCACAAAAACCCAAUAGGAAAAAAUUGGAGAAAGAGUACAUGGCUCACGCUUGCUGUGUUGCAUGAUUUGUCUCAUUAAAAACCAUACGUGAGAAACUUCUAUUGAAAACUCACAUAAGGGGAAAAGAGUACAAAUCACCUUUUUCUUCAUUUAAUCUUAAGACUAUAAUUAGGUAUUUGAACUUCAUGCUCAAGAUUCAAUUUAGGAGUAUGCAAAUUUCUCCCCCUGAGAACCACACUUUUAAGUCUUUUAUAAUUGCUUCAAGUCCAUCCUUUCAAUGAUGGAUGCAAUGCUUAAAUGGAGAUCUACAAGAUGCUCUUGUGCCUUAUUAUGCAAGACUCUAACGUGGUUCAACAUAUGCCUUCUUGAUCAUAUAUUAAUGGGAUUUUCAUACAUAGCACAUAUCCCAUCAUUACUUAUGCAACACAAGCUUCUUUACUUCAUAAGUUGGUAGUGGGAUUCCUUAAUCCACAUUACUUAUAUCGUGGAGUGUUUCUUAUUCGAAGUAUACAUCUUCACAAAUCUUUAUGCUAGACUUUGGUUCCCAUAUGAGUUUGUCAUUGUUGACACAAAGGUCCACUUUCUGACUUCAAUAUGACUUUAAUUUACAACAAAGGGAUUCAUAUUCAUAUUUAGGUACAUGUCUUGAUCUUCAAUGCAAAAUUUCUUAGCCCUUUGGAUAUAUUGGAGUAUAUUCAUGAUUGGUAUUUAUUUAUACUUAUUGCCAUUACCGAUCAAACACAAUGACACAUAGAGUGUCUACCUUGGGUGUAUCGACAUGGUAUUUCCUCCCCCUCAUCCUUAGGUUCUUAUAGGUCUGGGUUCACAAAUGACCGACCAAUUAAUAGUAUUUUCAUAAUGCACUUUUCUAUAAUUGAGAACCUUUUCAGUAUGAUAAGGUAUAGGUUUCAAAUAUUCAUUCAAGCAUGCCUCAAGCCAUAUGCUUAAGCUGUGGCAUGCUCAUACUUCGAGUAUGUUUGCAUUCUUGCACGAUUCUUUCAAUAUUUGUGGUAACUUUUCGAAGUUACACUAUGCUUAAUUUUAUUUGCCUUUCUUAGGUUAUGGUCAAUGACACUUCCAUGUGCCUAUAAAUAUAUAAGUCGAAAUCAAGAUCUUUCCUUUAUUUAAUCAUCCUCUUAUUCAACUUCAAGUUGAUUUCUGCCAAUGAGAUAAACAUACUUACAAAGGAGAUAAUGCCCAUGAUUAGGAAAAACAGAUCUUCAAGAACUUGAGCUGCUAGUGGUCAUUGUAUCUUUGCUACAGUGAUUGCCAUCUUUUCAAGAUAGUCUGUAUUAUAUGAUAGAUACAUAAUGACUAUUGCUCUUGUUCAAGUAUUACCAUUCCUUUUCAGAAUUCACAGGAGUGCUUUAUGCACUUUAUCUUGCUUUACUCCAAUAUUUCUCAAUACGGUAGCAAGCUCCUUUAUUAAUAGCUGAUGAGCUCAAAUUUGUUUCAGCUUUCUCUUCUUUUUCAUUUACCGGUAUAUUCAUAUCCUGAAGGCACCUCGCUAGAAGGCUGCUCUCCAGUUACCAGCUCUCAACUGGUUCCCCCAUUAUUUCGUUGGGGUGUUUCGUGACUAGGCUGUGAUAAGCUCCCUUAUCCAUUUUUCUCCAGGCGUCCCCGGGUACUUGGAAUUAGAGUAACUAGAUUUCCUAUCCUUUUCUUUGAGGCCUCGGAAUAGGAUGAGGAAUACCAUUCAUGGUACUUAAGUCCUCUCUAGUGCACUAAACAAUAGUGUGACUUGAUCACGCUCUACAAAUCACAAAACAAAAUGGCAGUUCAAUACUUUAUUCCAAUGUCUUCUUGACAUUCCAAUUUACUUAUUGGUAUUGCACGAGAAUAUUCUAUGUGAAUUCUCGGCUUCUUGAUUUUCUAGUUUUCUUAUUAGUGUGGGUCUUGCACGGGGAUCUUUUUGGCUUUUCGAGCGAUUUCCCGGCAUUCUUAUUUCAAGUAUUCUUUUCCUCCCCCUAAUGCCGUGGAAUAGAUCAUUAGGCAUUAUUGUGGUAAGUACAUAUACCAUAGAUUUGAAGUUGGGGAGUUAUUCUUAUGACGUCUUGCACUAGUCAUAUGCAAUAGAACUAUAUGUCCCUUUUCUUUUUUUUUUAAUUAUGGACUUCAUGUCCUUUUCUUGAAAAAGAAAUAACUCCUCAAUUGUGACCAUAUUUUCUAAGUGCAUCCUUAUUCCAUUUUGCAUCUUUCUUCAUACUACUAGGCUUCAUAGUGAUGAUUACUCAAUAUAUCCAUAAUUCUUAUGAGCAAUGCUAACAACUUCAUUGGUAUGUGGUUUUCUAAGGAGCGCAUUCACUUUUGACCACUUCGAUGAAGCAGAUGGCACAUAUAAUUGCUUAAGAUCCCUAAUAAGGGUUUUACACCACCAUGGAUAUCUCCUAGAUGCAUUCUAGGUAAGGAGUAUUCUUUAAAUUGCACUUUUCAUGAGAGAAUAUUGCAUUAUAAGUUUCCUGCAUGGCUCAAAGAGUGCUCAUAUGAAUCUUCUUGAUUGAGGGGAUACUCAUGUGGUGGUCAUGCAAUUUGAUUGCUUCUCAUUAUUUGCGAACAUAAUUGUGACUUCUAUUAUGCAAAGGAAGAGGAUAUAUGAGCUUCUAAACUCUUUAUCCAAAUAACAAAUUGACAAUUCAAGUGUAAAUAUUCUAAUAGAAUGGAAUUGAUGUUCAAAAUAAAAGAUUUUUUUUCAUAAAUAAUUUUCACAUCCAAUCUUUCAUGACACUCCAUAUGGAAAACAUCCAUGUUCCUUAACAAUUCAUAGGGAACAUACUAUGUUCAUUGUUUCCUCUUGAAACAAAUUCUUAUAGAUCUCUCUUAAACUUGAGAGAUUAUUACAAGUGUGAUGCUUCGUAUGAUCAUGCUUCUUCAAGUGCUGAUAUAAUGUCACAUUUUUCAUUUUAUGCAUAUAUUGUAAAAUAAAUGCUCGAGGAAUGACAUUAUAGUGGAUAACCUUCGUGGUUCACUUGGAUGUGCUCUUCUUAAAAUUCUUUUUUGUGCUGACAUCUCUUUCGACGUUUAAUAUCAAUCGGAUACUUUUCAUAGUAUUCAAGAUAUGACACAUAUGCUUCUAUGUUACUUUCAUGUUCCAUAGCAAUCAAAUAAAAGCAAGGUUUCUUAAAGGGGAAACAAAUAUCAGUCAUACUUUAAAAUAUAUACUAAAUAAAGAUUCAUAUAUACCGAUGAGAAAAAUGUGGCCUUUUCUUCAAGAGUUGGCAAUUAUUUGCCAAAUAGGUCUACUCUUUGUGGGUUUCUAAUUCAUGCAAUAUUUACAUCCACAAUUCUAAAAGUGGUGCGAGAGAUAUUGAACGUUCAUAAAAGAUCACUCAGAAACAAAUGUUUACUUCAAUACCAUUGUUUGGAGUAUUUUCCUCUCCAAUCAACUUCAUGUUUUUUUUACGACUAGAGGCAAGGGGUACCUCUUCAUGAGGGUCCAUUCAUAGUGUACAUGACUUGCUUCUUGCUUGUUUGACAAUAAAUCUACAUUGGUAAAAACCAAGUUGGUUUGCCUUCAUUUGGCAAUUCAUACGAUCGAAAUUGGGUAUGGUACAUGCAUGUAAUGAUGCAAAUAAUAUAAGAGGUUGUGUACAUUAGAGGUAACAAGAUGACCUUAUAUGGUUCGUGUGAAUGAUAUUGUUGUUUAUAUGCUAGUGUUAGAUUGCUUGUCAAAUAUUUUCAACUAUAUCAAGAGAAGUACCGAUCAUAUGUCCACUUCAUGAGACUUGUGCAUAUUAAUUGAUCGACGUAGAAGUCGGCGAUUUUAAAUCAGCAACAAUUAUAUGCCACACCUCGAUCGACUUCUUGUCGGCGACUACUAGUCAGCAACGAUGGUGCAUUCAUAUGUCAUGUGGAGACAAUACUUGAAAUUGCCCAUAUAUCCAUAUUUGAAAUAUAUACAAAACACUUGCAAUACUAUAAGUGGUAUGUUGUAUUCUUCUCAUGAAAUUCAAUAACAUUGCAAAAAAAAAAUUACACUAAUAAUUCCAUAAAUGUAUUGCAUAAAGGUAAACAAUACCAUAAAAUUACCUCAAUUUUCAUAAUGCCAUGACCCGUUUACGCCAUCGGCAAUGCUUCUUGCAAUUGUAGUUUAAUCAUGAGUGCUUCUUUGCAAUUCAUAAUUUCCGAGAACACUUCUUGUUAUUUCAGACAUCUUAGAUAUGAUUAUUCAUACAUUCAUAAAAUGUUGCAUGUACUUUCGAGAAAAUAAAAUUGAGUCCAUUACUUCAUGCAGGACUUCCAUAAUAUGUGAUGUGUUUUCCAGUAAUAUACACUCAUCACAAUAUGCUUCACGUCAUAUGCAAAAAAAUAAUAUAGAAUGCUUCAAGUGUUAUACUUUGUAUGCUUUAGGAUUUACUUCUUGUAAAUUUCAAAGUAUUCUAGGUUUUUUUUUAAUAUUGCUAUAUAAUUAAAUAUUCAUCAAUACAACAAGGAAUUUUCUGUUGCACUGUAGGGAUAAAUAUAGCAAAUGAACAAAAGUAAUACAAAUUCAUAAUUCAAACGUUUAGAAAAAUUACAAUAAUCAGACUAAAUAAAUAGUAAAAUAUUCAAAUGUAUAAAUAGCGAAUAAUUCUAAUGUCAAUUAUUGCAUGAAAAAUAUUUCUCUUCAGUUUUCUAUAAUUCAAGAGGUAAAAACAAAAAAACAUGUAGUUUAAGGAGAGACGUGCAAAUUUCGGCCCAAAAGGCCCAUUCAAAUGUGUUUUUAGGGUUUCCCAGCCCCCUUUUUUUUUUCUCCUUCCCAGUGCAUGGGGAUGGCGGCCGCUGUGCCUGGUUGCCUUUCGGACGGCGGCUUGGCUUGCUCGCACGGGCUCGCCUGCGGCGGCGGUUCAGCGUGCUUGCUCGGGGCGACGGCACGGAGCCUGCUCGCUUGCCUGCGGCAGCGGCUCGGCCUGCUCGCUCGGGAAGCCCGUGCCUGUUCGCGGCAGUGGCGGCGAGGCCCACGCUUGCUCGAUUACGGCAGUGGCGGCGGUUUCUACCCUCGCCUGCUCGCCUUCGGCGUCAACAGCCCAGCCUACGUGCGUUCGGGCACGACGGCUUAGCAUAUGUGCUUGCCCACGGGUAGCCAGGCUGCAUACUUGCUCGUAUGGCGGUGCCUGCUCCCGUGCGCACGCCCAUGAGGCGGCGAUGUUGGCUGCUCGGUGUGCAUGCUUGCCCGCGACAGUGCCUGCGUUGGUACUUCUGGCGGCGACAGCUCGCCUGCGCGGUGUCGUGGCGGCACCUGCUGCUUGUGCGGUGACAUGGUGGUGUCCGUGACUAUGACCAGCUGGUGGCGCAGCGACGGCCGGCACAGUUCCCGGCUUCCCGCUCUCGCAUUCGAGGUGAGGCGGUGCGACGGCAUCUGCUUGCACGCUUAUGAGCUUCAAGUCAGAAAAAUCGGAAAGCAAGCAAAUCUGCCUUUGUUUUCCUUCACCGGCGAGAAAACUACGGAUGCGUUUUCUUUUGAUUUCCAUAUGUGUAUACGUACAUUUGGGUUUAUGCCAGAGGGAAGAAAAAGAUUCAAAAUAAAUGCAAAAACUUCUUACUGCCAAGUGAAGUUACCGUCUUACUGCUUUGUCAACUCCUGGAUUGAGAGCAAUCGUGCUGAUAACGUGUUAAGAACCCUUUGCUACCGAGUGUAGUCCAAAGGCUACUUAACUAGAAGUGGAAUCACAAACACAGGAGACACAAAGAUAUAGGAGGAACUGAUAUUCUCAUUCAUGUAUUCUGUUUACUGGUUACAACAAAUGGUAGUGUCCUCCUCUAUAUAUAGUGCACAGUUAGGGUUUAGGCUAGAUGGGCCACAUGGGCCUUCGGGGCCCAAACAGGUUUCUUAACACUCCCGACUCACGUGACGUGAGACGGACGCGUCGUGCGUGCAGACAGCUUCGUUGGGCUGUCAAUAUGUCAGGACGGACCAUACAGUACUUCCUCCGUCGUAAAAAAUAUAUAAUUCAAUUUCUAUUAACGAAAAAAUGCCAAUUGUGACAUAAAUUAAUGAUCUUAAUCUUAAGUUAAAUUGAACUCUUAAUAUAGUAAAUUAAUGAUCUUUACUAUAUUAAUAAUGAAUUAAUUAUGUUUAGAAAAUCAUCUUAUUAUUUAGUCUUCAUCUCUAUAAUUGUUUUUAUAAUUAGACUACAUUUAAUAUUUAUAUUUAACAAUUAAACAUUUGACAUGAUACAUACUAAACUUUAGUAACCAAAUAUCCUCUAAAAACACAUAUGUAUAUGCUUCUAUAGUCACGAUCACCAUUUUUUUCAAAGAACCCUUUAGAAUUUUAAAAAUCAAACCUAUGGCCCGACCUUAGCCGCAAACCCUAAGAGCUUGUUUGGUUCCUUUAGUCUAGAGACUAAAGUUUAGUUGAAAGACUAAAGUUUAGUUUCUAUCCUGUUUGGUUCUAGGAACUAAAAGUAUUCAAAAUAUAUUAAAUGGAUCAUAAGAUGACCAAAAUACCCCUAAUCAUUCUUUCACCGUUAGUGCAACUGAAAUAAAGGAGGGGUAAAAGGUGUAAUUUAUAUGAUUUAAUCUCUUUUAGUCACCACUGACGGACUAGAGACUAAAAACAGUUUAGUCCCUAUUUUAGUCACAGUGUUUGACAAUUUAAGAACUAAAUGAGACUAAAAUAAAAAGACUAAUCUUUAGUCUCUCAAACCAAACAAAGAUGAUGCUCCUAGUAGAUGCUUUGGGGAUGAUGCUAAGCUGCUGCAAAAUACAGUACUGCCGUACUACCUGUUGUAGUCUUGGACCUUUUGUGCUUGAUCUCAGUCUGAUAGUGCAGGCUCCUAUCAUCGCGCUUUUGCUAAAUUUUAAGACAAUUACACCGAGACCGAGAAGACACGAUCAUCCUGAACACACCACGAUAUCUGUAUUAAGACGCACCCAGCUCGUAGAGAAGUGUUUCAAAGAUAGCACAGACAAACUAUAUCGUUAGUUUCAUUCUACACUUGCUAGUCAUCUUUGUCAUUCACAUGUUAAUUGCCAUUUACAUUUUUUUGGCAACAGAGCUCAGCAGACCUGUAUUUCAUUACUCUUGCAGGAAAAGUUCAGGUUCAAGAAACUUCAGAUGAACCAGAUCACCUUCCUAGAUUUGUUUAGCCAACUUGCGCUUCCAUUCUACUUUGUUCUAAAAUGUAGUAGCUGUUGUUAGAUGAGCUUUGCAAGAUGUCUUUCCUUUAGCCAAUCAGGAACCACUCAAUCAGUUGACAGUUGGGUUCAGGAUGUCCAUA